CCCUUGGGUCUUGGUCUUCUGAAGUUAUUAUUCCUUUUUCUCCUGAGUUGUUUUACUCUUCUGGUCAAAAGGGAUAACUCUUCUUCAUUGUUAGGGUCUUCCUUUUCAGAGUCGUCAUUGUCUUCCUCUUCAGCUUGGAAGGCUUAGUUCCUUUCUGGUUUGUAUCUUUUAGAUCUGGACUUUAGUGCUACAUACUUGAUC
This 201-nucleotide long non-coding RNA is filed under the name Lathyrus oleraceus (garden pea). Its description in RNAcentral is "Pisum sativum (pea) long non-coding RNA (PSAT_LNC025397)". The record is from RNAcentral. Lineage: Eukaryota; Viridiplantae; Streptophyta; Magnoliopsida; Fabales; Fabaceae.